CCCCUCAGGGGCGAGGCGGGAGGCGCGAGCGCUGCCCCUCAGGCGCGUGAGGGUCCCCUCAGGGGCGAGGCGUGAGCCCCGCACAUCCCUUCAGGCUGUUCCCCGAGGCUCCGUCUGGAUUUUGUCGCUGCAACUGUUAGUUGGCUCUUGCCGUAAUUGAUGGACACUGCCAGUUGCUUAGACAGAUGGGAAUUAAUGCUGGUGUUCCCAUUAGAACUUGCCAUCACAAUCGCGUUGGCGUUACUCUCCUGCGCAGAGUUGAUGUGUGUAAACCGGUGUGUUUGGAAGGAGCAAGCACAGCUCAUACCUGCAGUCCUUCUUUCCAAUGUAUUGGGGCCGCCGAUCCAACACAGAGCAGAUGAACUGCUUGCCAGCAGCUUACAGAACACUUCACAAUGGUAAGGAAAAUGCUUCAUUCCUUCAUGUUCAGAGGAGCGUGGUUCAGCGAGCUGGACUGUCAUCCCCGGAGGCGUCUGUGAGCUGUAUUCAGAGGGUGUUGCAGGGCCUUGUAUCCCAGUCACCUCCUCUGGAUCUCCAGUGACCUGGCACAGCCACAGCAGGACCUCCCAGGUGACUACUGUGAGGCACAGCCAGAGGUGAAGACAGAGCAGGAUGGUCCCUCCCACUUCCACUGACUGACAGCAAACCCAGCUUCUAUGAGAAGAGCCACUCCUGCCGGGAUGAGCACCUAUGAGGCCACCAGGACGGACCCUCCUGAGGGCAGCCGCAGCCCAGGUCACAGGGUGAGGCCAUGAUUCCACUGACCAGGAGCAUCCCUCUGGAGGAAGCACUGCUAUCCACAGGGUUCAGAUCCAGGCUUCUUUUGGCCUUUCAGCACAACAGAACUCUGGUAAAUUCAGGAUUGAUAACUGUGUUAAUCUCUUGCCUGUCAGUCACUAUUUUAACUAAAGGGGCAGGUGUGUCUUCCACAAAGGAGGACUUUUUUCCUUUAGGGAGGCCACAGGACAAAUAUUUUCUGGUAUUUAGUGCAGUGCUUCACUCAGCAGGAUGCAUCACUUUGUGCUGGGGACCAAUCCUGAACUCUGGCUGAACAGGGCAGACAGAAAGGAAUACUCUUACAGGUGCUUUCCUCCACUUGCUCUAACUGUGAAUUGAAGAAUUUUAACAGUAAUACAGGUCUAUUCUGGAAGUUUAAGAGACAUUUUUGUGCCGGUUAAGCUCUCUAGUCUAUACAAACAAAUAACCACUUAACAAAUGGCAGUGGCAAUAUUUUAGCAGGAAACAUUUAAGGGAAAGUGGUGCUCCAGCUUCCUUCUCAUACUUAGUUUUGCAUUUCCUUGCAAUUGCAGCAAUUUAGAAGAUCCAAUGUAAACAUUGACUUGGCUAAGUGCUACUGAAGUUUCUUUUUUAAAACCCUCAGUCGACAAUUUCUUGAGCAUAAUAAUUUCCCCUUUUCCCUGAAUACACACCACCAAACUACCUCUGAACAAGAAGUGAGCUGAUUCUUCCACUGUAACAUCGGUUACUGCUGGGGCACUUAGAUUUUCAGUCUAGGAAGUGCACUACCUGUAAGCAGGUACAGUAAUCUUUCUCCGAGAUUACUUGAUAUGAACAUACUAAGAUAACUUGUUAUUUCUCUGUGCAUUUCACCAUUUUGCAGUGAUUAAAAAGGAAACUAGAGGAGGAAGUGCAGAAGAACCACAAAGCUAACUGGUGACAUGGCCCCACCUCAGAGGACUCAGCACUGUCAGUGUCUCUCACACUGCAGGUAGUGCUGGUGGCAGUCACCAUGCAGAAUAUAAUGCUUUUGUGUAAUGCAGAGAUGCUCAAAAAGUAACAGUUUAAACAGAUGUUUGUGUUAACUCUGAACCCAUUAAUUGCAAAGAACCUUUAAAGCAAAUACUAAUAGGCUUAAAACUAAAAACAAGUACGAGUGUUUUCCUUUUUAAUAGGCUGUUUUGUACAUGAAAGUACCAGCUGAAAGCAUUCUGCACUUCUGCUCUAUUCUGAUUCUUUUAGAAUGAGCUAUAAUCCUUUCUCCCUUUUUACCCGUUGCACCUAUUUGCACCCUGAUAGGGCAAAAUCUUCACUACAACUGCCACAGGCUAUUUGUGGACUUAAAAGACAUUUGUGUGCAUAAAUGUGCACAGGAUCAGAGUCUCAGCCACCAUCGUAUUGCGACAAGCUCAAAGAAUCCAGAACCCUGAUCACCUUUUGGUGCUAAACUAUGAGUUGGAAAAUAAACACAAGGAUUUAGAGGAAAGACCAGAACCCUGGGGCUGAUGCUGUGACUCUGCAUGAGGCUGUGUUCCCAGGCAGCCCUAGACUCCUGGGAAGUGGGGUUCGGUACAGACCCCUAGACACUGAACUGGUUUAUGAGAGUACCCCAAACUGCUGUGGCUUAGUCUUCUUUGCCCCUUUAAUAAAAAAAAGAAGAAAGUCUAGCUAGGAGCAUGGACGCAGGGUAAUGCAUCAUUUAUAAAUUACCUUGUUAGUGCAGAAAACAACACAUGGCUCUGCAGCCGAAAUCUCCUGCUGCGGACUCGCUCUGUUUGAUGGGAGCCCUUCAAAAGCAUUGGUGGCUUAAUGGAGGCAGUUUGUGGGGACCUCGCUCCGUACCUGCUGUCCCUGUGCCUCGCCGGGAGCUCGGCGGCAGCUGCCGCGGCGUGCAGCUGUCUCUGAAGUGGCUGCGUGUCCUCAGCCCCAGCACAGGCAGCCUGCAUUGGAUCUGUGUUUGUGCCUGAGGCGAGCUGGGGAGCGCAGCUGUGUCCACCCCGCGCUACCUUUGGUGUUGGGGCCCCCGGGCCCCGCGCCGCCCCGACCUGCCCCACGCGCUCCUGCAGCUGCCGCCGCCCGCGCUCCCACGGCGCCGGGCCCGCCACAGCUGUGCCCACAACCUGCCCGCUCGCACCUGUGCCGUGCCUGCCUCCAACAGCGUGGCUCGGAGGACUUCAGCCACCAUCAGAGCCUCCCGGAGCAGCUCCGAGCCACCCUCGGCACUGCCGGGCACGUGGCACCAGUGGGACAGGACAGGGAGGCAGGAACAGCUUGCUCUGCUUUGAUACUUCAUGCCUAAAUUGCAACUGCUUGAUCAAGGACUCAAAUUCAGCAAUGAAUUCUUCUACAAAUGCAAGUACUGAGUUCUUCAACAGCAAAAGAAGGAAGAUUAAACAGAACAACUCCAUGGCUGCUGUUUCCAAGGUAAGUGUUGCGUGUCUCGCCGAGCACACACAUGCACUGACACAAACUCAGGGGUGCACCAUGGCAUCCCUACUCAGCACCCUAGGAACAAGGAAAAAUAUGUCAUUUUUUCCCUAAGAUACUCAACACCAUGCAGACAGAAAUGGCACUCUUGCAGUGCCACAGGUCACACCCGACCCACCAUUUGGUUAGUACAAAUCCCACUCCUUUUUCUAAGAGCUGUCUCUCUGCUUUCCACAAACCAAGGUGCUAGCCAGUGUUCCUCCUGUCAGGCCCAGAGAAGUCAGGUGUCUGACUGCACAAUGGCUCAGCAAAGCCUUCUCUAAAGGCAAUCCUUACAGUAAUUCCCUGCCUUUUAGGGUCAGAAAUCCCCAAAACAGGGCCCGACUGACACUUUUUUUAGCCUUUUCAGGCACCACUUCUGCUGUGUUCCUGUUUACAUUGAGUUUACCUGUUAAACUGUAUUGUGCCAGGUAUUUGGUGUGUAGAUUCGCUGUUGUUAAUGCUGCUCCAUGUCACACGCAUCCUUCAUGUAUACAGUGAAUAACUAGCCAAGGUAAGAAUGCUAACACUUGGCCAUUCUGCUGCUUCCACCAGUUGUCUUAAUUAAUUCUCACCUUUUCUUCCUUUACAACAGCACUGAACUUCAUACCAGGAAAAUAAUCAAAAUUCUCAUUACCUCCCAUUCUACCACAGAGCUGCCCAGCCCAGCCGUCCCUUGCCCACCCCGCGCCGCACACCAACCUCGUCUCCUUGCUGGGGCCGCAUCAGCGAGACUCUGUCGUACUGCCGCCGCAGCAGCGCCCACAGCGCGUCAAGCCGGCCCUGCGGAGACAGCACGGGCGUCUGUCAGCGGGGAGCACACCUCACCUGCACCGGGACUGGCCACAGGGAUCCCAGGGACACCAAGGACACAGCCAGGGAAGCUGCGAGAGCAAUCAAGUUGCUGGAGGAACAGCAGAAGAACAGAGGACAGAGAAGCAGUGAAAACCAGACAACUGUGUUGCCACACAGACUGCAAACAGGGAAGAAAUGUCAUGACUAGUGCAGCAGUUUUGUUGCUGGCCACAGCACAGAAACCACCUCUAACUGCCAGGAAACCAGGCACUGCCAGGGAAGCAGACCCAGAAGGAAGGAAGAACAGGUCAUGCCUGGGCCUAAUGCUGCCCCUCUCCUUGAGGACACUGCCCUGAAGCCCAGGACUACAGAGCCACAAGGGGCCCUUCCAGGUGAUGUCCGAGCCUCAGGGGCAGCAGAGAGGGGCAGGAACAGAGGCACAGCACAAGAACCCAAGGAGCAGCCAGCAAGCCCAAAGAAAGGCAAGGCUCAUGAUAUAAAGUGGGAGCAAAGUGACUGACAGAAACCUCCCUGUAUUUCUGAUGUUGGGCCUGUGCCGUGGAGAACGAGACACGAGAGAGGCUUUUUAUUACAGAAGAGGUCAUUGUUCUCGUCUCAGGAGCCCCAGACCGUGAGGGUGCAGAUGGAGGCUGAGGACUUCCUGCCCUCACACAGCUUGGGGCCCCCGGACCCCCCGGAUUAUGGGAGCUGCACAUGGUCAGGAUCUGUGUUUCCCACCCCUGAGUCCCAGUGCGGUGGCUGUUCCCCACGGUCUGUACUCACCACUUUGCAGCACAGGGGCCAGAACCACCAGAGCAGGCCGAGUGCCACCAGCAGCAGCAGCACGAGGACGGCAAUGAGCGCUGCCACACCACUGGACUGCAGAGAGAGCAGGGACAGCGUCAGCACGGGCUGCACAACUCUGCCUGGCUCACACACUCACCCCAAAGCCCAGGAUUAGUUCUGCUCAAGUCAGGGGUGCAUUCUCACGUGAAACCAAUAUAAAACUGAUACUCCUGAGAUCGGACUCAGGCCAAGCUGGAUGAAAAGGGAGAGUGCAUUGACUGCUAAGGAACGAGCCAUUAGACACAGGCAGGGGAAGUCUCCUAAACCUGUGGAUGAGAAGUGCCCUUCUCCUCCAUGAGGACACAGGUUACUGAUCUACAGGCAAAAGCAAUCCUGUUGGAGAAAUGCAGGCUGACGAGCAGAAGGGACUGUUCUCCGUGCUCCACGCCUGAUGGGAAAGCUGCUCUCUCAUCACACUUCAGAUGAGACACAUUUAAAGGCACACGGAGCCCAUGCACAGCACGUGUUAAACACUGGGGGCUUGUGUCUCCCUGCACAAAUCCCAACUGUCCUGCCCACGUAAUGGAGAGCAGACAUGCAAGACUAGAAAAUUGUAUUAAUCUAUUGAUUGUAUAAAGGUACUAAGUUCAAACAGUCCCUCUCUGCAUAAGUGUGUGGUUUGUCCCAGAAGCAGUUUUAACUCUUUUCCAUAACCUGUGAUCAGACUCAGCAGGAUGUUCACCCUGCCUUACCCCCAGGUGUAACUGGGGUGCUCCGGCCUGUGCUUGGACUGCCUGUCUCCCCAAAUUAACAGAGUUAAGAGCCUACACUCGUUACUCAGGCUCCAGAGUUACAGAGCAUCAGUACCCUCCUGCAGGACUGUAACGGCCCUCCACACCCAGGCUGAAGUCCCAAGGUUCUGCCUACUCUGCUCCCCCUCCCUCACUCAGGGAAGCCAGGCUGAAAUGGGACCCCCGGUGACUGUGUCACACCUGCCCCUUGGGACGUGGUUAUAUUUACAGUGAGCAGGUCUCUGAGGGCAGGGAAGCCUCCCAGUAUUUUGAAAGCCACAGCUUUCCACAGGGAAGUGGAAUCAGAGAUUCCCUGCACUGAGAGGUCCCGCAAUGGCCAAGCCCUAAGAGAAACGGGAUUUGGGAAUUUUACACAGGAUUGUGGUGGUCUUUUACUUACACACUCCGAAGCAGUGAUGGUUAACGAGCUGGACAUGAAAGACUGGCCUUCCUUCAAACUCACCAAAACCUCCAGGGUUCUGCAAAGAGAGAGAGAAAAAACAUGAGCGACCGUGGAGCAGUCAAGAAAGGCUCACACCUGCUCCAGAGGCACCUAUAUCUGAAGCCUCUGCUCCACAGAGAGUGUCCCCAGAGGGGAAAUGGAGGCCUGUGCUUCUUCUUGUUUGGGAGUAAGUUUGGUCUCCUUGACAGAGCUAUAUGAGUAGAGACUAUCCCUCCUCUUUUUCGUGCAGCAUAAAAUACUCCCAAAAGUUUUACAUAAAAUAAAUUGAAGUUCAACUGUAAAAUCGGCAUUGUUUUGUCUGUUCCAUAACCAUCUCUUUAGUCACAUGCAGGCAUUAUGGAUAAAAAUGUCGGAUAAUUAUAGAUGGUCAGGACUUGCUAUAAAUAGCCCCAAACACUGCAUACAAAUGGUAUGUGGUUUACAUUUUACAAAUUAACCCUACAAGAAAACAACACAUGGUGGAUGUUAAACAGAAGAAGACUCUUCUCUGGCUUGGAUUCCCAGGAUUCAGACAGUUUAUAUUAUGCAUAGAUGUAAUUAAAUAAAAAUAUAGAUAUCCAUGAACUAAAAUGAUUAAUCAUUUAUACCAUUCUUACAUGUCAUGAGUUUUUAUUCUGGCACAAACGCUUUAGUCAAUAUGGAGUUCAAAGCUAUUUUAACUAAUUUGGCUAAUUUCUUCUUCAUUGGUAGCAAAAAUGAAGUGAGUUGCUUCCACUAAACUAAUUUUUAAAUUAUCUGUGUCAUGAAUAAUUGAUCCAACAGAAAGAAUAACUCUAAUUUCUUUCUAAUUAUUACUGGAAUAAGUGAAUCAGAACAGAUAAAAAAAAAAUCUAUUCUCUUGCAGCACACUAAAUAAAACAAACUACACCAGAAAUUUUGUCAGACGUGAA
This is a long non-coding RNA of Pipra filicauda (Wire-tailed manakin), 6929 nucleotides long. RefSeq lists it as uncharacterized. The transcript has 11 exons. NCBI's taxonomy places the organism in Eukaryota, Metazoa, Chordata, Aves, Passeriformes, Pipridae. The record is from RefSeq and is a predicted model, not a curated record.